This 97-nucleotide microRNA precursor is filed under the name Equus caballus (horse). Its description in RNAcentral is "mir-9058 microRNA precursor family". It matches the Rfam family "mir-9058 microRNA precursor family". Lineage: Eukaryota; Metazoa; Chordata; Mammalia; Perissodactyla; Equidae. The record is from Rfam by way of RNAcentral.
GUGGCUGCCGGAUGGGUGCUCUCUAUUAGUGCUGUGCAGAGGCUUUCUCUGAGGCUGCUCUGAGCCUGUAGAGUUUCCCCCUAGGCUACGGAGCCGG